GUUCGUAGAUUGCAUGCAUGUAAUUUCCUGAUUCAGGGUCAACAACAUGGCGCUGUCCAUGGACCAUGUCAUCAAAUGACUAUUGAUCAAGUGUCUACCCAUUGAUCAAACGUGUGGACUCGCAGUCGAGAGAGGAUGAGAUGGUUUCCUUGGCUGUUUGCCCAGUGUACUGGUGGGGCUGCAGUUUACGGGAAGUGUGUGACUGCUUCCACCACAGGCAGACAGGAGCUGAGAAAGGACCUGUGUGUUAGUUUGAUGCUCUGAAGGCUUGCUUUGUUACAGCUGUGAAUGGCAUAUUACAGGGGUUUCAUUGUACAUUUGAUCAAAUUGUCUGUUUUUGAUGUAUCAAAUUGUCUUGCAGGCCAAGAAGUAUCUUCAACACAAUCAGGCAAUGGACCCAAAGUCCUCCCCCCCCCAUGUUGUAUCUUCAACAUAACCAGGCAAUGGACCCAAUGUCCCCUCCAUGUUCCAUGAACAUCAUAUAGUACUGUAUCAGUCAUGUGCUGAAUGACAUCUUGUCUCACCUGUUUAAGAUUGGUUCCAGGGGUAAUGCCAGGACAGUGUUGACAACACUCUUUUCAAUAAUGCUUUAAUGUCAUACUGUGUACUAACAUGGAGCCCACUACCAAAGACUUGUAGGACUGUGUCUUUAUAAUAUAAUGUCCUUUAUGGCUCAGUUGGUAAGAAAGAGCAUGGCGCUUGCAACGGCAGGAUUGUGU
This is a long non-coding RNA of Oncorhynchus keta (chum salmon), 719 nucleotides long. RefSeq lists it as uncharacterized. The record is from RefSeq and is a predicted model, not a curated record. NCBI's taxonomy places the organism in Eukaryota, Metazoa, Chordata, Actinopteri, Salmoniformes, Salmonidae. The transcript has 3 exons.